CUGAGCGGCGGACGGGUGAGUAACGCGUGGGUAACCUGCCUCAUACAGGGGGAUAACAGUUGGAAACGGCUGCUAAUACCGCAUAAGCGCACAGUACCGCAUGGUACGGUGUGAAAAACUCCGGUGGUAUGAGAUGGACCCGCGUCUGAUUAGGUAGUUGGUGGGGUAACGGCCUACCAAGCCGACGAUCAGUAGCCGACCUGAGAGGGUGACCGGCCACAUUGGGACUGAGACACGGCCCAA
This 243-nucleotide ribosomal RNA is filed under the name uncultured bacterium. RNAcentral describes it as "partial 16S ribosomal RNA". It matches the Rfam family "Bacterial small subunit ribosomal RNA", at positions 91 to 334 of the family's 1533-position model. The record is from RNAcentral.